CCUACGGGGGGCAGCAGUGGGGGAUAUUGCACAAUGGGGGAAACCCUGAUGCAGCGACGCCGCGUGGGUGAAGAAGUGUUUCGGUAUGUAAAGCCCUGUCAGCAGGGAAGAAAAUGACGGUACCUGAAGAAGAAGCCCCGGCUAACUACGUGCCAGCAGCCGCGGUAAUACGUAGGGGGCAAGCGUUAUCCGGAUUUACUGGGUGUAAAGGGGGCGUAGACGGCAGUGCAAGUCUGGAGUGAAAUCCCAUGGCCUAACCCCGGGACUGCUCUUGAAACUGUGUGGCUGGAGUGCAGGAGGGGCAGGCGGAAUUCCUGGUGUAGCGGUGAAAUGCGUAGAUAUCAGGAGGAACACCGGUGGCGAAGGCGGCCUGCUGGACUGCAACUGACGUUGAGGCCCGAAAGCGUGGGGAGCAAACAGGAUUAGAUACCCUAGUAGUC
Molecule: ribosomal RNA, 440 nt
Filed under: uncultured bacterium
Lineage: Bacteria
Description: partial 16S ribosomal RNA
Rfam family: Bacterial small subunit ribosomal RNA
Source: RNAcentral